Molecule: long non-coding RNA, 590 nt
Filed under: Populus trichocarpa (black cottonwood)
Lineage: Eukaryota; Viridiplantae; Streptophyta; Magnoliopsida; Malpighiales; Salicaceae
Description: long non-coding RNA (PTRI_LNC003384)
Source: RNAcentral
AUAUUAUACAAAUAUUGGACGUCGAAUUCGAUAAAAACAACAUCACUGGAAAAUAAAUUAUUGACAAAAUUUACAAAAACAGUAGCAUCAUCAAGCCCAUCUCAACUUUUAAGUUAAGACAAUCGCAGUACAGUUAUUGAACUCAAAUAGCAAGAACUUCCAAUGAAGGAGGACUGUUGCAUUGCAGAAACUGAAUGAAAUAGAAUUCAAUAUUUUUCUUAUAAUAAAAAACAAAUAAGAAUAUUUAUCAAAAGGAUUAGCGGGUUACCAUGUAUUUGUGUAUUUGUGGGUGUUUGAACUGGCUUAGAAUCUGUCCUAGAAGCCCGAGAAAGAAGAUCCAUUGCAUAUUUCUCCUGCAAGAGAAAUAGACCCUAUGGAGUAGUAGCAACCUUGAUGCCAAAAAAAAAAAACGAGAGAGUAGAGAAUGAGACUAAAAGUUAUGACCUUAUUUGUCAAAAAGCACAUUUGACUUGUAAUUCAGACUUCUUUUUAAAUUUAUACUUGAUGUUACAUAUCCCGAUGCAAAAGUGUUCGAGUUGAAGCAGAAUGUGAGGUGGUUCAUGGCAAGCCUUUCCCUGCUCUGUGGAGAA